UGGGAUGUAAAACCUUGGUUUGCAAUGCUAAAUUCAGCGGCAAAACCAUCCUUUUAUGAUUGUAGAUUCUCGUGAUGCUCCUAACAUAGGACUCCUAGAAGAACAAUGACUCUUCCUUAUACUUUCCUAGCACAAAAAGAAAAGCAAAAACAUUUUCUAUAGUUUGUUACUCCCUGAAUCGGCUAGUUCGGCACAAUUCAACAAUCCUUGCUCUAAAGGCAAAGAACAAGCCUCGGGCUAAAGGAAUCAAGCCAAAAGUUGAAAGAAAAGCAUGAAGUAGAAGAAGAAUGAAAAUUUUAAAAUUUUUAUAAUGUUUGCAACAACUUUGUAAAUCCUGUGGGAUAAAGGUGUCCAGUUUCUCUGUGGAAUGGGAUGUCCUGCUAUCCCGUUCUGUCCUGACAGCAAUCCUACUCAUGCAUUCUGAUAGAUAUCUUUCAUGUUUCUUCCCUUCUUCUUUCCUUUCUUUCUUCUUUUUUCUUUUUUCUUUUUUUCUUUCUUCCUUAUUUUCUUUCUUUUCCUCUACCUUCCUUUAUUUCCUUUUCUUUUUUGUUCAUUUUCUUCUCCUUUCCUUUCCUUUUUUUCAUUUUUUAUUUUCUUUCCUUUCAUUUUUUUUCUUUUCUUUAUCUUUCCUUCCUUUUCUUCUUUCCUCCUCUCCUUUUGUGGAUGGGUUUCAAAGUCCCGAGCCCACCCCCAGUCCCAUUUUCUCAUAGGGAAUGGGAUGCGACAAUCGGGACGCCCCUUGUCCCACUGGGAUAUAAAACGUUGGUUUGCAAUGCUAAAUUCAGCGGCAAAACCAUCCUUUUAUGAUUGUAGAUUCCCAUGAUUCUCCUAAAAUAGGACUCGUAGAAGAACAAGGACUCUUUCUUGUACUUUCCUAGCACAAAAGAAAAACCAAAAUAUUUUCUUUAAAAAUUGAGAAAUUCGUCACAUUGUAAGACACCUCAUAAAAGAUCAUGAAAAUCUUCUCAAAUCAUAAUUCUGAUGAGUCUAAAACUUUUCUAAUCCAACUAGGAUCCAAAGUAGGGUGUUUACAUGGCAGCCCUUAAAAUAGGACUCAAAAACAAAUUACAAAAUCUAGGCCCA
This 1083-nucleotide long non-coding RNA is filed under the name Elaeis guineensis (African oil palm). RNAcentral's name for it is "long non-coding RNA (EGUI_LNC055230)". Lineage: Eukaryota; Viridiplantae; Streptophyta; Magnoliopsida; Arecales; Arecaceae. The record is from RNAcentral.